UACGUAGGGUGCGAGCGUUGUCCGGAAUUAUUGGGCGUAAAGGGCACGUAGGCGGUUUGUCGCGUCAGGAGUGAAAACUCGGGGCUUAACCCCGAGCCUGCUUCUGAUACGGGCAGACUAGAGGUAUGCAGGGGAGAACGGAAUCCCUGGUGUAGCGGUGAAAUGCGCAGAUAUCAGGAGGAACACCGGUGGCGAAGGCGGUUCUCUGGGCAUUACCUGACGCUGAGGAGCGAAAGUGUGGGGAGCGAACAGG
This 253-nucleotide ribosomal RNA is filed under the name uncultured bacterium. RNAcentral describes it as "partial 16S ribosomal RNA". It matches the Rfam family "Bacterial small subunit ribosomal RNA", at positions 524 to 776 of the family's 1533-position model. The record is from RNAcentral.